GACGAACGCUGGCGGCGUGCCUAAUACAUGCAAGUCGAACGCAGUGGGGACGGGUGAGUAACACGUGGGUAACCUCCCAUCAGAGGGGAUAACACUUUGAAACAGGUGCUAAACCGAUACUGAUGGAUGGACCCGCGUGGCAUUAGCUAGUUGGUGAGGUACCGGCUCACCAAGGCGACGAUGCAUAGCCGGUCUGAGAGGGUGAUCGGCCACACUGGGACUGAGACACGGUCCAGACUCCUACGGGAGGCAGCAGUAGGGAAUCUUCGACAAUGGACGAAAGUCUGACCGAGCAACGCCGCGUGAGUGAAGAAGGCUUUCGGAUCGUAAAACUCUGUUGUUAGAGAAGCGGUAUCUAACGAGAAAGCCCCGGCUAACUACGUGCCAGCAGCCGCGGUAAUAC
RNAcentral lists this ribosomal RNA (403 nucleotides) under uncultured bacterium. Its description in RNAcentral is "partial 16S ribosomal RNA". It matches the Rfam family "Bacterial small subunit ribosomal RNA", at positions 28 to 526 of the family's 1533-position model. The record is from RNAcentral.